RNAcentral lists this ribosomal RNA (678 nucleotides) under uncultured Planctomycetota bacterium. RNAcentral describes it as "bacterial SSU rRNA". It matches the Rfam family "Bacterial small subunit ribosomal RNA", at positions 99 to 788 of the family's 1533-position model. The record is from RNAcentral. Lineage: Bacteria; Pseudomonadati; Planctomycetota.
CGGACGGGUGAGUAACGCGUGGAUACCUGCCCUCGGGUUCGGGAUAGCUGCUGGAAACGGCAGGUAAUACCGAAUGAUAUCUCCGGAUCAAAGGUGUGAUUCCGCCCGGGGAUGGGUCCGCGUCCUAUUAGCUAGUUGGUGAGGUAACGGCUCACCAAGGCAACGAUGGGUAGUGGGUGUGAGAGCACGACCCACCUCACUGGGACUGAGACACUGCCCAGACACCUACGGGUGGCUGCAGUCGAGGAUCUUCGGCAAUGGGCGCAAGCCUGACCGAGCGACGCCGCGUGCGGGAUGAAGGCCUUCGGGUUGUAAACCGCUUUCGGAGGGGAUGAAAUGCGUGGGGGUUCUCCCCCAUGUUUGACAUAGCCUCUAAAGAAGUACGGGCUAAGUUCGUGCCAGCAGCCGCGGUAAGACGAACCGUACGAACGUUAUUCGGAAUCACUGGGCUUAAAGGGUGCGUAGGCGGCGCUGAAAGUUGGGUGUGAAAUCCCUCGGCUUAACCGAGGAAUUGCGCCCAAAACUGCAGUGCUUGAGGGAGAUAGAGGUGAGUGGAACUUAGGGUGGAGCGGUGAAAUGCGUUGAUAUCCUAAGGAACACCAGUGGCGAAAGCGACUCACUGGGUCUUCUCUGACGCUGUGGCACGAAAGGUAGGGUAGCGAAAGGGAUAGAGACCCC